AGGUGAACCUGCGGAAGGAUCAUUAACGAAUCGUGAUUGGUGGUUUGAUUUUGUCAGCCAUCAAACAUAUGUGCUCUCCAGGCGACUGGAGGUGCAAAACAUAUCAUAUAUAUGAUGUAGUGUAUUAUUGUGUAGUGAAUGUUUGUUGGUUAUAUCACUAAUUGUGGUACGAUCAGUAAUAAUCAAAUGACACUUUUAACAAUGGAUCUCUUGGCUCUUG
Molecule: unclassified non-coding RNA, 220 nt
Filed under: uncultured fungus
Lineage: Eukaryota; Fungi
Description: partial contains 18S rRNA, ITS1 and 5.8S rRNA
Source: RNAcentral